GAUGAACGCUAGCUACAGGCUUAACACAUGCAAGUCGCGGGGCAGCAUGGGGGUUGCUUGCAAUCCCCGAUGGCGACCGGCGCACGGGUGAGUAACGCGUAUCCAACCUGCCCUUCACCACGGGAUAACCCGGCGAAAGUCGGACUAAUACCGUAUGUUGUCCAUUGACGGCAUCCGAUUUGGACGAAAGGUUUGGCGGUGAAGGAUGGGGAUGCGUCCGAUUAGCUGGACGGCGGGGUGACGGCCCACCGUGGCGACGAUCGGUAGGGGUUCUGAGAGGAAGGUCCCCUACACUGGAACUGAGAUACGGUCCAGACUCCUACGGGAGGCAGCAGUGAGGAAUAGUGGUCAAUGGGCGUAAGCCUGAACCAGCCAAGUAGCGUGCAGGAUGACGGCCCUAUGGGUUGUAAACCGCUUUUAUGCGGGGAUAAAGUGGCCCACGUGUGGGUUUUUGCAGGUACCGCAUGAAUAAGGACCGGCUAAUUCCGUG
RNAcentral lists this ribosomal RNA (490 nucleotides) under uncultured bacterium. RNAcentral's name for it is "partial 16S ribosomal RNA". It matches the Rfam family "Bacterial small subunit ribosomal RNA", at positions 28 to 507 of the family's 1533-position model. The record is from RNAcentral.